CAGCCGUAAACUAUGCGCGUUAGGUGUAUCGGUGACCACGAGUUACCGAGGUGCCGAAGGGAAACCGUGAAACGUGCCGCCUGGGAAGUACGGUCGCAAGGCUGAAACUUAAAGGAAUUGGCGGGGGAGCACCACAACAGGUGGAGCCUGCGGUUAAUUGGAUUCAACGCCGGACAUCUCACCGGAUAAGACAGCUGAAUGAUUGUCAAUCUGAAGGUUUUACAUGACUAGCUGAGAGGAGGUGCAUGGCGUCAGUGACU
RNAcentral lists this ribosomal RNA (260 nucleotides) under uncultured archaeon. Its description in RNAcentral is "partial 16S ribosomal RNA". It matches the Rfam family "Archaeal small subunit ribosomal RNA", at positions 748 to 1008 of the family's 1478-position model. The record is from RNAcentral.